Molecule: ribosomal RNA, 497 nt
Filed under: uncultured bacterium
Lineage: Bacteria
Description: partial 16S ribosomal RNA
Rfam family: Bacterial small subunit ribosomal RNA
Source: RNAcentral
GAUGAACGCUGGCGGCGUGCCUAAUACAUGCAAGUCGAGCGAACAGACGAGGAGCUUGCUCCUCUGACGUUAGCGGCGGACGGGUGAGUAACACGUGGAUAACCUACCUAUAAGACUGGGAUAACUUCGGGAAACCGGAGCUAAUACUGGAUAAUAUAUCGAACCGCAUGGUUCAAUAGUGAAAGACGGCUUUGCUGUCACUUAUAGAUGGAUCCGCGCCGCAUUAGCUAGUUGGUAAGGUAACGGCUUACCAAGGCAACGAUGCGUAGCCGACCUGAGAGGGUGAUCGGCCACACUGGAACUGAGACACGGUCCAGACUCCUACGGGAGGCAGCAGUAGGGAAUCUUCCGCAAUGGGCGAAAGCCUGACGGAGCAACGCCGCGUGAGUGAUGAAGGUCUUCGGAUCGUAAAGCUCUGUUAUUAGGGAAGAACAAAUGUGUAAGUAACUAUGCACGUCUUGACGGUACCUAAACAGAAAGCCACGGCUAACUACGUG